CUGGGAGAACACACAAGCUCUGCUGUCAGCCAUGUGGAAUGAAGCAUGCCGGGCCUCAUCUCGGACCUGCACACUGCCCCUCAUUAUGUUCAUGAUCGGGAAAUGGAUAAAGAGUGGCCAGAAGGUGAAAAAGAAGAGAUGGCCCCCUGAAAGGGACAUCCACAUUUAUUUGAGCACCUACCAGCAAAGUGCUGGGCACACAGAAGGACAACGUGAUGAAGCGCCAUCACAUGGCUGGUAGCCUGUGGUGAGUCACCGGACUUCUCGACUCCCACCUCACUAGGGUGGAAGGAACAGUAACCACAACGCUCUGCAACUCGGGCUGCGCCCGCAUGAUUGGAAACAAUCUGUGAAAUUGUGGAGUGAACAACCCCGAAGAAAUAGACUUCUAAUUCUAGCCUUUUGGAGAUUAUUAACCCAACUCCCAGAUUCUACAGAUGAGAAAAGGGAGGCCCAGGGAGGUGGAGAAACAUGUGUAGGAUCACAGAGAUGCCUUCAGCUCUCCAAAACAACAGAAAUGAUCAAAGAUGGAGGCAAGAAGACCAGAGAACCCUAAAUGUUUACUGUCUCCAGUGUGUUUGGAAACAGCUUGGACCAGUGUAGAGUGCUGGAACAGAGAGUCAAGAGCAUCAGGCGCGCCACCCAGAUAGCAUCUGAAAGAUUGUAAACAGGAUGAUUCACAAACUGGUGGCAGCAGCUAAAAGCAGUGCAGUUCGCGACCCUCAGCACACGCCAAGAUUCUAAAUGGGAUGUUGCGACAACAAAGCAGCCUGAAGAUUCUAAAACAUAAUGGUGUCACCAGGACAUUCACAGGGUGCUGUAACCUGUAACUGACAAGCAUACUCAUCAUCAUUUCUCCUUGGGCAUGCUGCAUCCUUGCGCUCCACUGGGCCUCCUGUUGCAUUGCUAUUUAUUUGCAUCUACAAGCAGGGGAGCAAGUAUGCUGCGGAAAUAGCCCCAGAGAGGUGUCUGAUUCCCAUAGGCCCUUGCAGCCAGCUACAACUGAAUGAUUUCCGAUAUCAGUUACUGAAAAUUCUGACCAUGAUAUGCAGACCAUGGCAGAUCUUAAUGACAAUAACAUCAUCUCACAUUUUGAUGGCGUUUAACAGUUUACAAAGUGCUUUCACAUACAUUAUCACAUUUAAUCCCAGUGAGGUCGAUAGUCUUCUUCUCCAUUUUAUUGGCAGCUUGGUGUAGUGGAAAGAGCUGUGGAAUCAGACAGACUUAAGUUCAGAUUCUGCCUCUGACUACCAAACCAUGGACAAUUUGCUUCAUUUCUCUCCCUUUUCUUACCUAUAGGAUGAGGAAUCAUUUCUAUUUCCGAGGUUUGUGGUGAAAAUUAAAUAACAUAUGUAAAGACAUACAAUAUAGGGCCCGAUGCAUAGAAGUACUCGAUAACCAUUAGUUUCUGUCCACUUACAGAGGAAGAAAAUGAAGCUUAAGAGGUUAAGGGAGUUGCUCAAAGUAAUAGCUAGUAAAUGGCAGAACUGAGACUUCAUUUAUUUUACAAAUAUUAUUGAACACCUACUAUAUGCUGGUGCCUUGGGCAUAGGAAAGUGGAUGAGUCAUAAUUCUAGUUUUUGAGAUGUUCACAGUAGAGCGGUGGAAUCUGAAAUGCAAAUAAUCAAUUAUAAUCGAGCGUAAUCUGAGAGGCAAAAAGUACUUAGGGAAUAUCCUAAAGCCAUGGGUGCACCCUAGAGUAUCUACACAAGAGAUAAGUCUGAGGAAGAGGAACCUUCCAGGAGGCAGCAGUAGAGUUACACCUGAAAUAAAAUGUUGGCAGGUGGAUGAGGGUGAGCAAGGAGAGGAGCAUUCAGGCGAAGACAACAGUGUGUGCAUUCAUCAGGAGGGUCAAAGGAGCCUGGCAUGUCCACUGCAGCACAGAAGAGAACCUGAGCAGACAGGAGAGAGAAGGGAGAGGAGGAGGCAAGGAAGCAGGAGUGAGAAGAAUGAAGGGGCUUGCAGGUAAUGCUGAGAAGCGUGCAUCUUUGUCAGUCCACACUGGCACAAACUCUGUGAUGAUUUACAGAGAGAGCCAACCUGGUCAGAUUUGCAUUUUUGAAAUUGUGGCAGCAAUGUGAAAGAUUGACUAGAGGAGGGGAUAAUGGAGGCAGUAGUUCAAUGAGAGAUAAUUAGGCUAUGAACUAAGAAAGUGGCAGAGCAGACAAUUUCAAGCGGUAUAGCAGAGGCAGAAUUGACAGGAUGUGGCCAUUAACUGGAUGUCAAGACAGGAGAGACAGAGAGAACUCUAGGAGGACUCCCAGGCUAUGAGCUUUGGUGGCUGGGCGAACGAAGAUGUCCCCCACUGACGUAGAAGGAGAGGACAUUUGAAGAGAUGAUAAUAAAUUCAUGUGGACAUGUUGACUCUGAGAGACUCAUGGAUAUCAAGAAGGAGGUGUUCAGUAGACAGCUAAAAAUAUGAGUCUGGAGUUUGGGAGAGGACUCACAAUUAGAUGCAUUGAUCUAGGGAUCAAUGGUUUUUAGACAAUGGUUGAAGCUGUUUUUUUAUGCCAAGAGGAUAGAGCAAGAAGAAAAGUGGGUCCUGGAGAACUCUAGGGAAUAUCAAUGUUUAGGUGCUAGAAUGAGGAUUGUUGGAGAGAUGGAACUACCAGGAGAAAGGGAGAGCUCAGAGGCCAGGGAAGGCAAGCAUUUUUUGAUGAUGAAAGUAGAGGAAAGUAUCAAAUUCCACCAAAGGAUCAAAGAAGAUGAGAACUGAGAUAUGCCUGGCAUUUGGGCAAUGAUAAGAUCACUUUGGCAACUUCAGUUUUAGACAAAGUGGUUAAAAAAGAGGCU
Molecule: long non-coding RNA, 2793 nt
Filed under: Homo sapiens (human)
Lineage: Eukaryota; Metazoa; Chordata; Mammalia; Primates; Hominidae
Description: HSALNT0365036
Source: RNAcentral